Molecule: long non-coding RNA, 692 nt
Organism: Homo sapiens (human)
Lineage: Eukaryota; Metazoa; Chordata; Mammalia; Primates; Hominidae
Exons: 4
Source: RefSeq, a predicted model, not a curated record
GCCUCAAGAGUCUGUCUGGUGGCUGGCUCGCAGCUAGCUUCUGCACAAUCCCCUCACUCUGACCCUGCAUCUUCAAUGCCGCCAUUCUGCCAAACCGCUGCUACUUCUGGAAAUGAACCCUGCUUUCCAGCAUUUGGGCUGGACAGGGUUCUCCAGGCUUGCUAACUACAGCAGCUGUUUUCUGUCCCCAGUAAGAGCCAGGGUGACAUACCUACCUGCCCAGAGCCACCCUUGACAGGAGACUCAGGGAGAAGUGCCCCCAGGACCAAAGCACCUGCCCAGCCCACUGGAAGAAGGAAGCUUACAAUUCUGUAUGCUUGGAACCCACCAAAGCCUGAGGCCUCACUGGCACCCAGCCAUCCACAGGAGUUAGCAGCUGUUUGAGUCCAGAAGGAAGAACUUUUGGAGUCGGAGACAAAUAAUGUUCACCACUCCACUUCCUUGUUCCUUCACACCUGCUACUUUGGAUUCAGACGAGAAGUUCCAAGAAUCCCUGAGUCCACAGCAUGACUCUGGUUUGCAGAACCUCUGUCCAGACCAGCCAGAUCAGAAUACAAAGGAAAGUGACACAUCCUGGAUCUCAACCCACUUCGAUGGGAAGUCUUCCUGAUAAAUUUAGAGAUAACCUAAAGCCCUUGGGGACUUCCUCUUGAUUUGAAUCUGCUGAACACCUGCCGCACCCCCACCGCACC